Gavialis gangeticus (Gharial) is the source of this 2460-nucleotide RNA transcript. It is a transcript of the gene named tubulin folding cofactor E, with no coding region annotated. The transcript has 15 exons. NCBI's taxonomy places the organism in Eukaryota, Metazoa, Chordata, Crocodylia, Gavialidae. The record is from RefSeq and is a predicted model, not a curated record.
CUGUGCUGCCAGGUCUCAAAUAUGAGAUUAUCACGUGAGAAGCUCAAAAUGAUGGUAUUUGCUGCAAAACCGUCCUUUAGAAAAGUGCCUUCAACUCCAUCUUCCUUGCGAUGUCCAGCAUUUUGCCUUCAGAUGCCCUCGGCCGAAGAAUUCUGUGUGAUGCGGAAUAUGCAACUGUGCAGUAUGUGGGCAGUGUGCCACCUACCAAAGGAAUUUGGAUUGGAGUGGAGUGGGAUAAUCCCCAAAGAGGAAAGCAUGAUGGUAAUCAUGAAGGAAUACGGUAUUUUAAAUGCAGGCAUCCUACAGGGGGGUCCUUUAUCCGUCCAGACAAGGUAAAUUUUGGUGUAGGUUUUCUUACUGCAGUGAAGAACCGCUAUGGAUUGAACGAUGAACAAGAUGUGGCAUAUGGGAAAGACAAUGCAUUAGUCCUUGGAAAGAAAACUGUGGAACUUGUUGGCUUUGACUCAGUUUUAGAGGAACAAAGUCAGCUGAACAAAUUGGAAAACAUCUCAGUGAGAGAAUGUGCAGUGAGCCACGCAGGUCAGAAGGAGGAAAUUAGCAGAACGUGUCCUAAUAUCAAGAGUAUAGACUUAUCAAAAAAUCUGUUGUCAUCGUGGGAAACAGUGAUAGAUAUCGCUAGUGAGGUACAGAAUCUGGAAAUACUGCAUCUCAGUGAAAACAAAAUGAAAUUUCCAUCUGCUGCAACCCCUGUAUGUGGUACGUUUGACAAGUUGAGAGUUCUGACACUUAAUCGAACUGGAGUAACAUGGGUGGAGGUUCUUCUGUGUGCUCCAGGGUGGCCAGCACUUGAAGAAUUGUACCUUGCAUCUAAUGAUAUUACAGUUUUAGAAAGGCCCACUAAUGUUUUACAGACCCUGAAAUUGCUAGACCUUUCAAGCAACCAAUUAAUUGAUGGAAAUCAGCUGCAUCUAAUAGCACAUCUCCCCAGAUUAGAAAAACUAAUACUUUCAGACACUGGAAUUUCUUCUGUACACUUUCCUGAUGCUGGAUUUGGGUGCAAGACAAAAAUGUUUCCUUCGCUGAAACAUCUUGUAGUAGAUAACAACAAAAUAUCACAGUGGUCAUUUGUCAAUGAACUCGAUAAACUGCAAAGUCUGGAGUCGCUGCACUGUUGGAAUAACCCUUUGGGCCCAGAGAAAAGCCCUGAGACACUGAGACAGCUAAUCAUUGCCAAAAUAGGUCAGCUGAAAUUCUUAAACAAAUCUGAGAUCCUUCCUCAGGAAAGAAAGGGAGCAGAGCUUGACUAUCGCAAAAUGUUUGGAAAUGAAUGGCUCGCAGCUGGCGGGCAUCAGGACCCUGACAAAAACAGACCCCAAGAGGAGUUCCUUGCUGCCCAUCCCAGAUACCAGUUACUUUGCCUUACCCUUGGCUCUGCUGGAGCAGCAGCUGGGCUCCUGGACUGUAGAAAACAGGAGGCCUAAAUCCUCAAAGGGACUUGGCCACUGUUAACAUGUUCAGACUGCUGCUCCGCUGCGGCCGAACCCAUGAACUUGCCCAGAUGUGGCAUGUGCAGAGCUGUCUGUCCAGUGCCGUCACUGCACAGGUCAGGGCCCUGGCAGCCCUGAAACAGGAUUUUCUCGAAGGGCCCAGUCCUGUAGAUGUGUUUAGAAUAUGCUGGUGCGUCCUGCUCAAGAUGCGCUUGUGGCUUCACAUGCUCCUGAGAUAUGGGAGACCAAGAUUCAUGUCCUAAUUGCAGACCUUGUUCACUGGGUGUCUAAGUGGGAGGAUAGGGCAGUCUCUGGUGUGUGGGAGACAGGGUCAAGUCCCCGCUUCAGUAAAUCUGUAUUUAUACAAACUGAAACAUCAGCAAAUCUGAGACCUGCUCUGAAUAUCUGGUGUUUUGGUGGGUUUAGGGCACUUGUCUGAGAGCUGGCUUCAGAUUCCUGCUCUGAAUUGGUCAAGCAAGGAGUGGACCCUGCGGGUCCCAUGUGCCAGGGGAGUAUUUUCAACUCCUGGCUACCGCACGUUCUGUGGUGGAGCGAUCUCCCCCUCGUUCCAUUGCUGCAUUGCAUAGGGGACCCUCGCUUAGGGCUGCAGACUCCAGCAAGUGACAGGGUGGGAGGUUGCAUUGUUGGGUUUUGCAUAGUCUGUGUCGCAGAACCUUUUGAUGAGUGGAGUCCUUGCCCCUAAGGGAAGUGUAACAGUGAGGGGCAGUAGAGUUCUGUACUAGUGGGAUGAUCCCAGGGACCAGGUUAUCCCAUAAAAGAUUAGUGGGUGAUUUCUCUCUGCACUUACAUUAGAGAGAGAGUUUAGCUGAAACAUUUAUCUGCAGAACUUUUUCUUUGCUUUUCCUGCUUUAUCUCAUUUGACUAAGAGGUGUGUGUGUGUUGUUUUUUAUAGAGUAUGGUGCUCCUGAAGAAGGGGAACUGAAAGCGCAACAGCCUUUCACUCUGAAAAAUCAGUUACUAACUGUGACAAUUAAGUGUCCUGAUAAACCUG